Molecule: ribosomal RNA, 744 nt
Filed under: Rathayibacter sp.
Lineage: Bacteria; Bacillati; Actinomycetota; Actinomycetes; Micrococcales; Microbacteriaceae
Description: bacterial SSU rRNA
Rfam family: Bacterial small subunit ribosomal RNA
Source: RNAcentral
ACACGUGAGUAACCUGCCCUUGACUCUGGGAUAAGCGCUGGAAACGGCGUCUAAUACCGGAUACGACCUGCCCCGGCAUCGGGUGCGGGUGGAAAGUUUUUCGGUCAAGGAUGGACUCGCGGCCUAUCAGCUUGUUGGUGAGGUAAUGGCUCACCAAGGCGACGACGGGUAGCCGGCCUGAGAGGGUGACCGGCCACACUGGGACUGAGACACGGCCCAGACUCCUACGGGAGGCAGCAGUGGGGAAUAUUGCACAAUGGGCGAAAGCCUGAUGCAGCAACGCCGCGUGAGGGAUGACGGCCUUCGGGUUGUAAACCUCUUUUAGUAGGGAAGAAGGGCCUUCGGGUUUGACGGUACCUGCAGAAAAAGCACCGGCUAACUACGUGCCAGCAGCCGCGGUAAUACGUAGGGUGCAAGCGUUGUCCGGAAUUAUUGGGCGUAAAGAGCUCGUAGGCGGUUUGUCGCGUCUGCUGUGAAAACCCGAGGCUCAACCUCGGGCCUGCAGUGGGUACGGGCAGACUAGAGUGCGGUAGGGGAGAAUGGAAUUCCUGGUGUAGCGGUGGAAUGCGCAGAUAUCAGGAGGAACACCGAUGGCGAAGGCAGUUCUCUGGGCCGUAACUGACGCUGAGGAGCGAAAGCGUGGGGAGCGAACAGGAUUAGAUACCCUGGUAGUCCACGCCGUAAACGUUGGGCGCUAGAUGUGGGGACCUUUCCACGGUUUCCGUGUCGCAGCUAACGCAUUAA